ACCAAACAAGUAUGGAGAUCUUACUUGUGGAACAACUGGUGAAUAUCUAGAUCAUUCUCCCGAAGCUUUGGGCCUGUGCUAUACCAACCUACGAUGUGCUCCUUAGCUGAAGCAUGUCCACAAAUUCAUGUAAACAAACAAUUCUCAACAUGGAAAGAGCACAAAAUGCAUUAGAAAUAGAGAAAUUACCAUUUAUCCUCUUAAACAUUGAAAACAUCGACUCAUGGUAGUUGUGAUCAAGAAACCAUAUGCUUGGAUCUUUCUCGUCUUCUUCAAAGGGCACUGAAACGAAGAGAGUAUAGCAUAUAAAGGUAAUUGGUAGUCCAAAGAUAGAAAACUCGCCAGAGUACCCAUCAGAACAAUAACCACCUUACUGGACUCGUUUAGUUUAGAUACAUGGGUAAACUAAUAACAUAGUGUAGAGGAAAUUGCAGAUGCCUAGAAUGGAAAGAAAUGAAAACUAUGGCUAAAAAACACAAUGGUUCGACCGGAAGUCGACACAAUCUUAAGUCAGAUGGAUAAGACCAAUUUUACCAUGAAAUUCAAGGUUUUACACAUUGUGCGACUAAAUUAUUGAAAACUUCUGAUGUCAAGUCCUUCAAAGCAGCAAUUCCCAAUUACAUGACUCAAUCGAGUGUAGGUUACACAACGAAUUUUCAGUGUCAUAAGAACCAUGAAAGAGUAACGACCACAGCAAGUGGGAACGGCAGCCAACUGAAGGCCUGAAUCCUAAUCAAUUCAUAAUGAGGGGCAACCUAAAAGAUUUUGCAUGACAGAAAGAAAUCCUCUCUCUUAUAAAAAUGACCCAAAGCACAAACAAUCACUUCUUUUAAUCCCUUUUUCGUGAAUCAGGACAUCCACUAGAAAGGCACAUUUCGAGUCCUCGCAGCUAAUUCUGAUUUAUGCUCAACUACUGUCAAUUUCAGAGAAGUACCAAAUAAAAUGCCCAAAUUCCAUGCAUCAUUAUCGUAAAARUCGCGUAGUUUCAGCUAUGAAYCCGAAUCAAACGACAGAAAAAGAUUCAGAUCCAAACACGAUACAGUAAGUUUAUGACAAGAGGCGAGAGAGAAAACAGUAUGAAAGGAGAAUAAGGACCUGCAUAGCUAUUGCUGACGUCGACGGUGCCCUUGAAAGAGCUACCAAGUAGAACUCCUACGACUCGUUUGCGGGAUUCCUUAGCAACUCGGUUGUAGUUAUCGACGAUGCUGAGCAAAACCAGAGGGUGGACUACGACCUUCUCGACUGGCCUCGAUGAUAUUUGCUGCGUCUUGAUCACAUCCAUGGCGAAAAUUCCUGCAGUGUCUCGGAGCUCARUCGAAUUCGCGAUUCUCGGCUAAAGCUAAACCCACUAAGAAAUAAAAUGGAAGGAGCAGCUGAUUAAGCCCUUUUUCUUGGGGGUUUUCUUGGCAGAAAAGCAAGCCUCCUCAGCGAUGAGCGACCCUCUCGGCCCAAAUAAACCGAGAUUCAACCCGGGCUUUUGUAGUCCGGCUCGGUUAUCGAGUUCGGAAGAAAAACCGCUAUUUUUUUCAUUCUAACUGUUCGAGUGUUUUUUUUAGUAGAACAAGUGUGGUGUUGAGAUGGAAAAGAUUAGAGAACAAAUAGUGUCAUCAAUUUAUCAACCGAGGAAACUGAAAUUGGUAUUGCUAAUUUUUUCUUUUUUAUUUUAAAGUUUGACYAUGGUAAAGAUGAGAUCAUGUCAACUAAUUUGGARUCUUGUUUUUAUUAAGUGUUAAAAGAAAUCACAUUCAAAAUAUUAAUGGAUAUUURCUYAAAUAGUAUUUUUGAAACGUUUAURGARGAUAGAGUAGUAUUGAAACUUUUUAAAUAAUAUAAGUAUUUCUUAAACAAAAGUAAAGUUGAAGGGUAUGUUUGUAAUUUAGUCUAAAAACUUUAAACUGAGGAGUUAAGACAUUGUCUCACAUAUCAUAAAGYCAAUCUUCACUAAGGAUGGCAACGGGCGGGGCGAGGUCGGUGGGUCAUCCCCAUCCCCACCCCCGUCCCCGAAAUUUUGGGGGCGGUGAUGAGUCAGGGAUUCCCCGAUCGGUACAUUUUUUUAAUUUUUUAAAUUAAUUUUUGUUAUUAUUAGUAUAARAAUUGAAUAAGAAGUGGCUAAAUGGGUAUUAGUUUGAGUUUUUUUUUUUAACAAAAGUAUUUAUAAAAUUAAUAUAUAUUAAUAUUAUUAUAUAAAAAAAUAGAAAAAGUAAUUAAAAAAAUUAAACAGGCCGGGGACGGGGGGACGGGGCAGGGGGACUGAUCCCCAUCCCCGGUUUGACCCUAUCCCCGGUCAAACUGRAGAAUCCCCAACCUGGGUCGAGUACCCGUUGGGGUCUGAUCUUGCAGGUAUUUUUGUCAUCCYUAAUCUUCACCCACCUCUUUGUGGAAUUAAAGAAAUGUUAAAUUACAAGUUUAGUCCCUCAACAUUGAAGAUUAUGUCUAUUCGAUUCGACAUUGUUAAAAUUUACAUAUUUAUUGGUUAAAAAAAUUUACAUAUUUAUGCGACACUUUGAGGCCUAUUAAAUAUUUUUAAAUGUAUUAUCCUAUUACAUACAAAAUAAAAAAUUUGAAGACCUAUUAAAUGUAAUUUCAAGAGCUCACGUCGAGAGGAAGGUUUAGCAUCUUGAUCUCGGCUCUUUGCGACAUGGGGAUUGUUAUGUUCCAAGAGUUGGGUUGUUCGCCCAUUAAAACAGUACGUGAGUUUGGUUCAGAACGUCGUGAGACAAUUCGGUCCAUAUCCAGUAUUGGGCAUUAGAACAUUGAGAGGACCUUUCACUAGUAUGAGAUGACCAGGAAGGACGCACCUCUGGUGUACCAGCUAUCGUGCCCAUGAUAAACUUCGGGUAGCCAAGUGCGGAGCGGAUAACUGCUCAAAGCAUCCAAGUAGUAAGCCCACCCUAUGAUGAGUGCUCUCCUAUUCCGACUUCUCCAAAGCUUUCGAUAGCACAGCCGAGACARCGAUGGAUUCUCUAUCCCAGUAAAUUAUAGACCACUUCAAAUCUGCGUUUUCGAGAGGGAUAAUCAACUCCGCAUUAAAGAGAAGUUKAUGGCA
RNAcentral lists this ribosomal RNA (3046 nucleotides) under Momordica charantia (bitter melon). RNAcentral's name for it is "bacterial LSU rRNA". Lineage: Eukaryota; Viridiplantae; Streptophyta; Magnoliopsida; Cucurbitales; Cucurbitaceae. The record is from RNAcentral.